GACGAACGCUGGCGGCGUGCCUAAUACAUGCAAGUUGAGCGAUGAAGAUUGGUGCUUGCACCAAUUUGAAGAGCAGCGAACGGGUGAGUAACGCGUGGGGAAUCUGCCUUUGAGCGGGGGACAACAUUUGGAAACGAAUGCUAAUACCGCAUAACAACUUUAAACAUAAGUUUUAAGUUUGAAAGAUGCAAUUGCAUCACUCAAAGAUGAUCCCGCGUUGUAUUAGCUAGUUGGUGAGGUAAAGGCUCACCAAGGCGAUGAUACAUAGCCGACCUGAGAGGGUGAUCGGCCACAUUGGGACUGAGACACGGCCCAAACUCCUACGGGAGGCAGCAGUAGGGAAUCUUCGGCAAUGGACGAAAGUCUGACCGAGCAACGCCGCGUGAGUGAAGAAGGUUUUCGGAUCGUAAAACUCUGUUGGUAGAGAAGAACGUUGGUGAGAGUGGAAAGCUCAUCAAGUGACGGUAACUACCCGGAAAGGGACGGCUAACUACGUG
This 497-nucleotide ribosomal RNA is filed under the name uncultured bacterium. RNAcentral describes it as "partial 16S ribosomal RNA". It matches the Rfam family "Bacterial small subunit ribosomal RNA", at positions 28 to 507 of the family's 1533-position model. The record is from RNAcentral.